CUCCAAUAGCGUAUAUUUAAGUUGUCUGCAGUUAAAAAGCUCGUAGUUGGAUUUCGGGUGGGGCCUGCCGGUCCGCCGUUUCGGUGUGCACUGGCCGGGCCACCUUGUUGCCGGGGACGGGCUCCUGGGCUUCACUGUCCGGGACUCGGAGUCGGCGAGGUUACUUUGAGUAAAUUAGAGUGUUCAAGCAGGCCACCGCU
RNAcentral lists this ribosomal RNA (200 nucleotides) under uncultured eukaryote. RNAcentral describes it as "partial 18S ribosomal RNA". It matches the Rfam family "Eukaryotic small subunit ribosomal RNA", at positions 589 to 795 of the family's 1831-position model. The record is from RNAcentral.